RNAcentral lists this ribosomal RNA (465 nucleotides) under uncultured bacterium. RNAcentral's name for it is "partial 16S ribosomal RNA". It matches the Rfam family "Bacterial small subunit ribosomal RNA", at positions 28 to 507 of the family's 1533-position model. The record is from RNAcentral.
GACGAACGCUGGCGGCGUGCUUAACACAUGCAAGUCGUACGGUAAGGCCCUUUCGGGGGUACACGAGUGGCGAACGGGUGAGUAACACGUGAGUAACCUGCCCACAACUUUGGGAUAACGCUAGGAAACUGGUGCUAAUACUGGAUAUGUGCUCCUGCUGCAUGGUGGGGGUUGGAAAGCUCCGGCGGUUGUGGAUGGACUCGCGGCCUAUCAGCUUGUUGGUGGGGUAGUGGCCUACCAAGGCGGCGACGGGUAGCCGGCCUGAGAGGGUGACCGGCCACAUUGGGACUGAGAUACGGCCCAGACUCCUACGGGAGGCAGCAGUGGGGAAUAGUGCACAAUGGGCGCAAGCCUGAUGCAGCAACGCCGCGUGCGGGAUGACGGCCUUCGGGUUGGAAACCGCUUUCAGCAGGGACGAAGCUUUUUGUGACGGUACCUGCAGAAGAAGCACCGGCUAACUACGUG